CCAAGUGGAACCCCACUGCAGGGGUGGCUUUUGAAUAUGAUCCCGACAAUGCCCUGAGGCACACAGUGUACCCCAAGCCUGAGGAAUGGCCAAAGAGUGAAUACUCAGAGCUGGAUGAGGACGAGUCACAGGCUCCCUAUGACCCCAAUGGCAAGCCAGAAAGGUUUUACUACAACGUGGAGUCCUGUGGUUCUCUGCGCCCUGAAACCAUUGUUCUCUCAGCUCUCUCUGGAUUAAAGAAGAAGCUGAGUGAUUUACAGACUCAGUUAAGCCACGAGAUCCAAAGUGAUGUGCUGACCAUAAACUAGCUUCAGCUCACCUAUUUCAGCAAAAGUGGGGAUUCCAGAUAGUAGUUGGGUUUCAGGUCUUUGACACCUUCUGGUUUGGGGUCUCUGGACUGCUAUUCAAGCCUCAUGACAGGCCAUCAGUGUCAGCCAGAGGGGGGCUGCAGAUUACCAGGGAUGCCACUGGAAUUUAGGGUAGGACAGUUUUUACUAGACAGUUAGCAUGCCUGUCCCUAUUUGUUAAGGCCCAGUGGUAUUCCCCAGCACCCAGAACAUCCCUCCCAUCCCAUUUCC
Urocitellus parryii (Arctic ground squirrel) is the source of this 578-nucleotide non-coding RNA. The record is from RefSeq and is a predicted model, not a curated record. NCBI's taxonomy places the organism in Eukaryota, Metazoa, Chordata, Mammalia, Rodentia, Sciuridae.